GACGAACGCUGGCGGCGCGCCUAACACAUGCAAGUCGAACGAGCGAGAGAGAGCUUGCUUUCUUGAGCGAGUGGCGAACGGGUGAGUAAAGCGUGAGGAACCUGCCUCAAAGAGGGGGACAACAGUUGGAAACGACUGCUAAUACCGCAUAAGCCCACGGAGCCGGCUGGCACAGAGGGAAAAGGGGCAAUCCGCUUUAAGAUGGCCUCGCGUCCGAUUAGCUAGUUGGUGAGGUAAGGGCCCACCAAGGCGACGAUCGGUACCCGGACUGAGAGGCUGAGCGGCCACAUUGGGACUGGGCCACAGCCCAGACUCCUACGGGAGGCAGCAGUGGGUAAUAGUGCACCAUGGGGGAAACCCUGAUGCAGCGACGCCGCGUGGAGGAAGAAGGUCUUCGGAUUGUAAACUCCUGUUGUUGGGGAAGAUAAUGACGGUACCCAAAAAGGAAGUGACGGCUAACUACGUG
RNAcentral lists this ribosomal RNA (466 nucleotides) under uncultured bacterium. Its description in RNAcentral is "partial 16S ribosomal RNA". It matches the Rfam family "Bacterial small subunit ribosomal RNA", at positions 28 to 507 of the family's 1533-position model. The record is from RNAcentral.